UACAGAGGGCUCAAGCGUUGUUCGGAUUCAUUGGGCGUAAAGGGUGUGUAGGUGGCGCCGUAAGUCGGGUGUGAAAUUUCGGAGCUUAACUCCGAAACUGCAUUCGAUACUGCGGUGCUUGAGGACUGGAGAGGAGACUGGAAUUCAUGGUGUAGCAGUGAAAUGCGUAGAGAUCAUGAGGAAGACCAGUGGCGAAGGCGGGUCUCUGGACAGUUCCUGACACUGAGGCACGAAGGCCAGGGGAGCAAACGGG
Molecule: ribosomal RNA, 253 nt
Filed under: uncultured bacterium
Lineage: Bacteria
Description: partial 16S ribosomal RNA
Rfam family: Bacterial small subunit ribosomal RNA
Source: RNAcentral